Molecule: long non-coding RNA, 4630 nt
Organism: Canis lupus familiaris (dog)
Lineage: Eukaryota; Metazoa; Chordata; Mammalia; Carnivora; Canidae
Exons: 3
Source: RefSeq, a predicted model, not a curated record
GUCUGAUACUAUUCAGCUACAUUACAGAACUCUGUGAAAGGCAGUAGUUCUCUUAUUUCAUGACCUCCUUGGGGCUGUGGGUAUAGUCAUAGGUCUAUGACUGCUGCUUAAGAAAUAACUUGUGCCCUUAUGGUUUGAGACACAGUACCCCACCUGCUGAAACAGAGGCCUCCAGAAUAAAGACCUGAGUGAUUGGAAGAAGAGCCCUGAAACUUGCUGUGACUCUGAUCAAGCUGCUCCCCAUCCAUGGAUGUCAACUGAAGAGGUUUGGACUGAGUCAUGCUGAGCACCCCCGCCGCUGGCCCCUGCCCCCCAUCACCAGCUCUAACCACCAAAUUCUGAGAACAUGGCUCAUGGUAGCUCUGGCCUGUCUGCCCUUUACCCCAAUGCAUGCACACAAUGGUAUUGUAAUGCUUGUGGUGUACUGUAGAUGUACAGUCUUGUUUUGGGUCAACUAAGGAAAACACAUAAAGAAAAAGUCACCUUCCCCCCCCAACCCCCACAAAAGUAAUAAUGAGAAUGGAUACAUAAGAAAAGAAGAAGUCCGGAAAAACCAAAAGGGAGGGACUGUUGCUGUUCUCAUAAAAAGAAUUCUAUUUGGUCUUGUAGUGGCUGCCACACAGGAUCCAUCUCCAUGUUAGACAUAUUUCUCUGAAGGACUGGGCUUGCCUCCUGGUCUGACCACGGGCCUGAAAGAGAGGCAGGCAACUAACCAUUAUUGCAACAAGAGCCCCCGCAGUGUGCUACUGCAUCCAUCCAUGCCUCUCUACCCACCCUAGCCUCCCAGCCCCUACAAGGUCUGAGCACUUGUCCCUGGAACAUCAGCAGGGGACUGGGUGAAUGAUGUCAGCAACCCUGUCGAGAGCUUUACAUUUGCCAUCUUUGGCAAAUUUGUGCAAAUUUGUCACAGCAGCCUGAGGAUGGGGAGCAUUGGGAAAGAGUGAGAACUUGCCUAGGGUCACCUAACUGGGAGGUGAUAGAGCAGGUUCUGAACCCAGUUAAUCUAGUUUCUGGGAGCCUUGUCAGGGGCACCCAUGGAGGUGAGAAGAGCUGAUAACCAAAGUCAUCAGUUGAGUUGAUUCUCAACCCCAGGGAGGAUGUGAGCAAACCACCACCAUCGGUGAAACAGAGCUACUUUAUCUAACACAGAAAACCCAAAUUUGAUGUGACCCUAAAAACAUGUGUUAAUUCAGGACUGGCCUAGCACCUCCUAAAUGGGCUAAUUCAUCAUGAACGUCAUGUCUAUGCACACCGUCCUCCAAACCUCUGGAAGCUAAGCUGCCCUCAGGCAUCACUGAGUAUGUUAACUCAGGCAUAGGGAUCCCUCAGAUAUGUUUACUCUGUAUAGCUUUGUAUUCUAGGGCAGGGUUUUGUUCUCAGUUCAUUUCAAACUGAGAAUUUUCAGAAAAGAUAGAGACAUGGGGAGAUUCUCCUAAAAGCUCCCAACUGCACCCCAAAUACUUGUAAAUGUUAAAAAUCUUUCUCGGUUUUUAAAGGGUCUUUAUCCCCUUGUUAUGCCAUUUAUAAUACAGACAUUGGAAAGUCAUUACAUUUUCAGCUGUUAAAAAUAAUGAUAUAUUAAAAAAAUAACAUCAUAUGAGAUAUUGAUCUUGGAUUCCUGAAGAGAAAUCUCAAGGAGUGCGAAAUGCAAACCAUAGGUAUAAAAUUUGAAAUAUUUUCAUCUGCUGAAAGGAACUGAUCAUCCUUAAACAUUCUCAUCCCCCAAACCCAAUUGCAGGAAGAAGCCUGAGCUUUGGAUGGAAGUUGCAUUUCUGCUAUUUGCAGAAUGUGGUGGAUUCUCAAUGCAACCACAACGACAUCCGCCUCCCAGCACACAGGAGAGCAGACAGAGUUUGUGAAAAUUCUGGAGAUGCUUGCUUGCAGUAGGGCCAGCUGUGCAGAGGGCUGGGUGGGGCCUGCCCCUCACUGCCAGUGUUUGUUCUUAAAACAUGGAAAUACAAGAAUCUUAAUUUACAUGAAUUGAAGACAUUCGGAACAUAUAACCAGGCAGAGCAGUGGUAUGAAUUGAAUCAGGGCUCUGGACCGCAGCUCCUAAGACCCUGACUGCAGGGACAACUUGGAAUCAAUGGCCUGCUGCCUCCUCUUGCCAAUCCCGGACUGUGAAGACAAUACUGUCUCCUUGGAAGGAGUUAGCUUGUUUGGGCCUAGAAAGGCCUCUGAGUCCUAGAGCUAACAGAGCCUUGCUUUAUCUCAAUGACAAAUACCUGUCAAUUCCACCUAAAUUGUGCCACUCCUACUUUUUCUGGAGAAUGUUUCAAUAUAUAGAAACAUUGUCAUAUUGUAUGUCUUUGAGUUUGAGUUGUGGUGACACAUACAGAUUUAUUUAUUUUAAAUGUUGUAUAGUAGUAUUAUCUUGUGAAUAUUCCACAGUUCAGUGGUCCUCAAACCAGAGUAUUCAUACCCUUGGGGGGACAAGGAGGCUGGCUGUCUUUGGGAUACACUGUAUUUUAAGGGGCUCAUUUCCCAGGUCUUCAAUUUUUGGUUCUCUUUCCUAAAAUGGAUCUGCCCAGGAGCAAAUAAAUGUCUGUGUCUAGUCUUCGUGCCAAUCCUCUUUCCCCAUCUCCCCUUUCAUAAUUGCUCUUCUCUUGCUUUAAAACAAAAAGGCAGACCUGCUACCAUUCUGUACAUUACUGUGGUGCAAUGCCCGGGAGGUGCAAAGCUCUCUGGGACAACAAUCAAAGGGGAAACACCCAGAUAUUUUUCAUUUUGUGUCCAUUCCCUUAGUUAUGAAUAAGCAUUUCUCCUGAGGAAUGUCCCCGAGAUCCUGACAAAGAGGGUGUCUGGGAGAAAUGCUGGAGCUAGAGUAUCUUGUGGCCAACCCCUGGGCCUCAUCAUUUUACUCACCUCUCUCUAGAGCCUCAAUGCAGAGGCCAGACAGUUGUUAUGGGAUGUGCACUUGUUCCUAGCAUGUUCAUUAGUAUUGCAAAAGGAACCACACUUUCUCUUUUAACACAAAGUCUGAUUUGCUAACUGCUUUGGUAUUAAAGACUGACUUUGCCAAUGAGGUUAGUUGGCGGCAUUUUUAUUUGCAACAAAUCAAAUUAGGUAAAUCCUUAGCUCUGAAAUUUUGAUGAAAACAAAGCUUAAAGUCUAUGAUAAAAUAAAAACAUUUAAUUAAAAUAUUAUUUUGGCAGAUUUAUAUUGAAAUUAAAAAUAUUUCUAUGUCCCCAACCUCUUCUAAGUUCAUUAGUGUGAAGGCAAUUGCUUCUAGGUGAGAUAAGAGUGGUACAAUUCAUAGCUACUGAAUAGACAUUGGUAAAGCCUAUUUUAGUCGGUUUCCAGAAACUGAGAUGUGAAUAACUCUAAGGAUGGUAAUCAAUCCACUCACAGGUCAGUGGUUCCCAAGUCUUUGCUUUCAACACAAUUGAAAAAAGACCUACUAGAAUUGGCAACUCUUAUGUGUUGAAUUGUGUGUGUCUUCCUGAAAAUCAUAUUUUGAAAUUGGAACCCCCGGUACCCUCAGAAAGUAACCUUACUUGGAGAUUGGGUUUUAUCAAAGGUAAAGUCAAGUUUAAAUGAGGUCAUUAGGGUUGAUUGAAAUCCAGUAUAACUGGUGUCCUUAUUAAAAGGGGAAAUUUGGACACAGACACAUGCUGUGGAAGAAUGUCAGGUAAAAAAUAAAGGCAGAGAUCCGGGUGAUGCUUCUACAAGCCAAGAAACUCAAAGAUGGCUGGCAACUCACCAGAAGCUAGAGGAGAGAGACAGAGCAGUUUCUUCCUCACAGCCCUCACAGGAGAUGAACUCAGCCCCUGUCUUGGACUUCUAGAACUGUGAGACAAUACAUUUCUGUUGUUGAGACACCUAGUUUGUGGUACUUUGUUAAGCAGCCCUAGCAAAUGAAUACGCAACUAGUAAUAGAUCCUUAAGAUGACUUUCUGAUGGUAGCUCACUACGUGGCUUUAUGUUUUGUAAAAAAAAAAUUUUUUUUUUUUGGAAAAAAGUUAAAAGAUUUAGCAACUGUACUAUUACAAAGCCAACGAUUUAUUUAUAGGGAACAAGAUUUUUUAUAUGAAAAAAUCUCCCCAAAAGUAGGAAAAUAAUUGGUGUUGUACCUUGUCUUAUUUUAGCAAUAAGUAAUCAUUUCCAAUGGGUUCAUUAACUAACUGGAUCAUAUCCAUCUCUUUAAGAGCUGUAUUUUCCCCUCAAAGUUAUAUUUUUAAUAAAAAUUCUUAUUUUGAAAUAAUUGUAGGUUGAUGCUGCAGUUAAUAAUAAAUAAUAUAGAGAUCUCAUAUACUCUUUACCCAAUAUCCGCCUAAGGUAGCAUCUUGCAAUAUCACUAUCACCAAAGGCUACUUUUAUAUUUAACACUUAAUUUUCAAUAAAGAUGGCAUAAUCUAAAUAAAAUUUUAAUACUUAAAAAUUCAUGGUUAUAGGAAAUUAAAAUUUCAGUUUAUACGCUUUUCUGGCAGAGAAGUAUGAUCAAUAAAAGAUCUUCAAGCAUAAAAACAUACUACAUUAGAAUAAACUUCUAUUCAAGAAAAUGGGUAGAGGGCAUCCCGGGUGGUUCAGCGGUUUAGCGCCGCUUCAGUCCAGGGCCUGAUCCUGGAGACCCGGGAUCGAGUCCUGCAUCGGGCUCCCUGCAUGGAGCCUGCUUCUUUCUCUGCCUAUG